UACGGGGGGGGUAAGCGUUGUUCGGAAUUACUGGGCGUAAAGGGCUCGUAGGCGGCCAACUAAGUCGAACGUGAAAUCCCCAGGCUCAACCUGGGAACUGCGUCCGAUACUGGCAGGCUUGAAUCCGGGAGAGGGAUGUGGAAUUCCAGGUGUAGCGGUGAAAUGCGUAGAUAUCUGGAGGAACACCGGUGGCGAAGGCGGCAUCCUGGACCGGUAUUGACGCUGAGGCGCGAAAGCUAGGGGAGCAAACGGG
Molecule: ribosomal RNA, 253 nt
Filed under: uncultured bacterium
Lineage: Bacteria
Description: partial 16S ribosomal RNA
Rfam family: Bacterial small subunit ribosomal RNA
Source: RNAcentral